This 432-nucleotide ribosomal RNA is filed under the name uncultured bacterium. RNAcentral describes it as "partial 16S ribosomal RNA". It matches the Rfam family "Bacterial small subunit ribosomal RNA", at positions 29 to 507 of the family's 1533-position model. The record is from RNAcentral.
AACGAACGCUGGCGGCAUGCCUAACACAUGCAAGUCGAACGAGACCUUCGGGUCUAGUGGCGCACGGGUGCGUAACGCGUGGAACCUGCCCUUAGGUUCGGAAUAACUCCCCGAAAGGGGUGCUAAUACCGGAUAAUGUCUUCGGACCAAAGAUUUAUCGCCUUUGGAUGGGCCCGCGUUGGAUUAGCUAGUUGGUAGGGUAAAAGCCUACCAAGGCGACGAUCCAUAGCUGGUCUGAGAGGAUGAUCAGCCACACUGGGACUGAGACACGGCCCAGACUCCUACGGGAGGCAGCAGUGGGGAAUAUUGGACAGUGGGCGAAAGCCUGAUCCAGCAAUGCCGCGUGAGUGAUGAAGGCCUUAGGGUUGUAAAGCUCUUUUACCCGGGAUGAUAAUGACAGUACCGGGAGAAUAAGCUCCGGCUAACUCCGUG